Molecule: long non-coding RNA, 4834 nt
Filed under: Equus asinus (donkey)
Lineage: Eukaryota; Metazoa; Chordata; Mammalia; Perissodactyla; Equidae
Description: lncRNA (ENSEASG00005026166.1)
Source: RNAcentral
GCGAUAUUUAACGGAAGUUGAGCAAGUGAAGAACCUGGGAGAGCAGCUUCGAUGCCUUUGCUGAGGGGUGACGUACUUCACGUUGCUCCCUUUCCGUCUGCUUUGUACAUCCUGUAAACUACCUGCCUACCGACUCGCCUCCUUUCCUUCCGCCCCCGCACCUACCGGUUCCUCGUUACCAUUUUCUCUGCCCCGAAGUCCUCGGUCUCGCUCAACCUGCUCCUCCUCCUCCUCUGUCCUCCAUUCAGUUUAGGGUGCCGCUUGCCAGAAACCCAGAAUUGUUGCCAACUCGUCUUUCUCUGUCAUCUCUCCUGUAGUUUUUGCAAAUCUCUUGUUUCUCUCCACUGUAGUAGUGAUAAUGAUCACAUUGAUAGUGGUGAUGAUAAAGAUAGUUACUGUUUAUAUGUGUAGGGUUAUAUAUCUAUUAUAUGUAAUAGAUAUAAAAUAUAUAUUAUUUUAAACAUAUAUUCUGUAUUGAGUUUUAGGUGAAAAGCGCUUAAAACAGUUUGGUUUUUGGGCCAGGGGAGCAUUGCCAUUUAAAAACUGCUUUCAGUUUAUAAUGCAGGGAACUUUCAGAUCAUCUUUAUAGCAGAACCCUUUGAGGGGGCCCCUUUCCUUUGUAUGGAUGUAAGUGAGUCAUCUUCAGGGACGAACAGUGGUGUCUCUCUUCUCUUUGAUUUACUGCCAUGAAGUUUGGGCGAUGCUGUAAUACCUUGUUUGUAUGAAGAAACUUCCAAUCCCCAGAGUGACCAAGAGAGGAAUUUCCAGUGGGAUGCUGGCAUCAUUUAAUGGCUGGCUCUCCAGAGACAAAAAGCUCUCUGCUGAUUUCCAUGGUAUAAGUACUCUCACAGUGGCUAAUUUUUAAGCUAUCAAUGUGACGUCACUGAGUGUGGAGCUGGGAAGAGUUAGGAAGAGAUGUGCAUAAUCGGCUCCCAAAAACCCAUAGGUGCCGGCUUCAACAUACGAUUGAAAUUUCCUUCCUACCAGGGUGGUGAGCAGCCCUGGCUGGAGGUCUCAGCCAGAGGAAGGAUGACCACCAACAGGGAGGCUCCCUCUCAAUGGCUCCGUCUCAAUCCAAAGACGUUGAGACGCCAUCAUUCCACUUACAAUGUAAAUCACUUCCUUCAUAGCCAAACAUUUUUAGAGAAUAAGAAUAUGUUAAACACCAAAACUCUAUUCCUUUUUGAGAAAAGCAAUAGAGAUGAGUUGUUCUCCCUGAAUAAGCCAGGGAUUCAAUGUUGGUGAUGGAGUUCAAUUUACGUAGGAUAUUUUUCCCACCAUCAUCAGCCUAGAGGGCAGGUCUCCUUGCAGAUGUCAGGGCAGCUUCAUCUGCGGCUAAAUUUGAAAACUCCCCUUGGAGAAUUUCAUAUCCCCUAGGUCACUGUACUCAGUUUUACAGUCCCCUUAAAGUUUUGCAGUCUGAAGGGCAUUAUCUGUGAAAAGUCAUGAAGUCUGUAUUGGUUAGAAUGAUUUGAGUACAAAUAACAAAGCACUUUGACCCAACCGGCUUAAAUAAUGAAGAAAUACAUUAUCUCCGAUAAUGAGAAGUCCUAAGGUAGGAAAACACCAGGGUUGGUUAAUUCAGAGAUUCAAGAAUGUCAUUAAGGAUCCAGAUUUCUCCCAUAUUCCUGCUCUGUCAUCCUUUGUCCUGUUUAUCUCCCCUCAUGGUUGUAAGAUGGCUGCCACUUUCUAGGCACGAAUGGCAACAGCUUUUGAAGAAGGACCAACUCUUCCAAUAGAGGAAAACUUUUCCAGAAGCUUCAUUGGAUAGAAUUGGGUCAAACAUCCUUUCCUAAAUCAAACCAUGUCAUAGAGACUGGAAUUACUAUGAUUAACUUAAAAUAAAUCGGAAUUUAACCAUGAGUUACAUUGGAGAGAGGUAAACACCCAGACAAAAUUGUGUUCCUGCUUGGUAGGCAAUUGUCAUCCCAAGGACUCUUCCACUAUUCUGAUCCUAAGAAUGUUGACGUGUACAGGUCAUUUGGUCCUUUUGGCUGAUCAGAGAUCCACUUGGAUCAGACCAAUGAACUUGAUCAGAAGCAAAUUAUGCUAUGUUUACUAAAUUGAUUAAACUCAAGAUCAGUUUAUCAAAAAAUAUUUGUUAAGGACCUAGUGGGAACCUGGCACUUAAAAGUUACAAUCAUUAAGCACUGGAUCUGCUGAUGAGUAGACAUGGACAACUGGACUUAGAGCUCUUAAUCAGCCAGCAGAAUAAGUAAAAAUUUCUUCAAGAUGAGGAGGGGUAAAUACUUUAAAAAAAUACAUGACUAUGGCUUUCAAUAAGGAUGCCAAGACAAUUCAUUGGGAGAAAGACCAGUCUUUCUAACAAAUGGAGCUGGGACAAUUGGAUAUCCACAUGCAAAAGAAUGGAGUUGGACCCUUACCUCACACCAUAUGCCAAGAUUAACUCAAAAUGGAUCAUUGACCUAAACAUAAGAGCUGAAAAUAGAAAAAAUACUUGGGAGAAAGCUUGUAAAUCUCAUGACCUGGAUUAGUCAAUGGAUUCUUAUACAUGACACCUAAAGCACAGGUAACAAAAGAAAAAUAAAUAAAUUGGGCUUCAUCAAAAUUAAAACUUCUGUGCUUCAAGGAUGCUAUUGAGAAAGUGAAAAGACAAUCCAAAGAAUGAGAGAAAAUAUUUGCAAAUCAUGUAUUUAUUAAGAGCCUAGUAUCCAGAAUGUAUAAAGAACUCUUACAUGGGCCGGCUCCGUGGCCGAGUGGUUAAGUUUGCGCACUCCGCUGCGGUGGCCCAGGGUUCGGAUCCUGGGCGCGGACAUGGCACCGCUCGUCAGGCCACAUUGAGGUGGCAUCCCAUAUGCCGCAACUAGAAGGACCUGCAACUAAGAUAUACAACUAUGUACCAGGGGGUUUGGGAAAUAAAGCAGAAAAAAAAAAAAGAUUGGCAACAGUUGUUAGCUCAGGUGCCAAUCCUUAAAAAAAAAGAACUCUUACAACUCAGCUAUAAAAAUACAAGUAAUCCAAUCAAAAAAUGGGCAAAGAAUUUGAAUAGACAUUUCUCCAAAGAAGAUAUACAAAUGGCCAAUAAGCACAUGAAAAGAUGCUCAACAUCAUUAAUCAUUAAUGAAGCACAAAUAAAACUUCAAGAUAUUACUUCACACCUGUUAGGAUGACUAUAAUAAAAAAGACAGACAAUAACAAGUGUCGUAAAGGACACAGAGAAAUUGAAACCCUUAUGCAUUGUUGGUGGGAAUGUAAAAUGGUAUAGCCACUUUGGAAAACCAUUUGACAGUUCUUUAAAAAGUUAAACAUAAAGUUACCAUAUGGCUCAGCAAUCAAUUUCAUUCUUAGGUAAAUGCCAAAAGAAAUGAAAACAUACAUCCACGCAAAAACUUGUAUACAAAUGUUCAGAGCAGCAAAAUUCAUAAUAGGCAAAAAAUGGAAACAAUCCAAGUUUCCAUCAGUGGAUGAAUGGAUAAAGAAAAUGUGGUAUAUCCACAUUAUGGAAUAUCAUUUGGCCGUGAAAAGGACUGAAGUAUUGAUACAUGCUGCUAAAUGGAUGAACGUUAAGAACAUUAUGUUAAGUGAAAGAAGCCAGUCACAGAAGAUUACAUAUUGUAUGAUUCCAUUUAUAUGAAAUAUUCAGUAUAGGUAAAUUCAUAGAGACAACAAGUAGAUUAGUGGUUGUCACAGGCUAAGAGAAGGGGAAAUGAGAAGGGACUAUUAAUGGGUAUGGGGUUUAUUCUUGGGUGAAAGAAAAUGUUCUCAAAGUAAAUAAUGGUGAUGACCACACAACCUUGUGAACAUACUAAGAACCACUGAAUUGUACACUCUAAAAGGUGUGUGAUAUUCUAUGGUAUGUGAAUUACAUCACAAUAAAAACAUUUAUAUGACUAUCUCAGGCCUUUGGGGGGAAAUAGGACAAAAAAUCAGCAAGCUAAUAAAUAUUGAGUUGGCAAAAUUUAUAAAACUCUUCUAUGAUUCUGAAAUUUAUACAUCCUAUUUUAUCUCCUCCUAUCUCCUUGGUCCAAAUGACUUAUUGUGCAGAUCAGUGGUUCUUAACCCUGGCUGCACAUUUGAGAAUCACCAUGAGCUUUAAAAAGAUAUGAUGCCUUGGCCUGACCCAUGGCCAAUUAAAUCAGUGUCUCUGGUCCCCCAGCAACUCUGGCAUCUUAUUUUAUUAAAAACUUCCAGGUGAUUCCCAUGUGCUGUCAAAACCAUGAAAUUAAAGAGUAGACCAAGAUCCAGGCAGCAGUGGGUCAUAUUACAACAUGAUUCUUUAGCUAAGUCCUUUUUUUUUUUGGUGAGGAAGAUUGGCCCUCAGCUAACAUUGGUUGCCAACCUUCUGCUUUUUGUUUUUCUCCCCAAAGCCCCAGUACAUAGUUGUAUAUACUAGUUGUAAGUCACCCCUGUUCUUUUAUGUGGGAUGCCACUACAGCAUGGCUUGAUGAGCAGUGUGUAGUACUGCGUCCAGGAUCCGAACUGGUGAAUCCUGGGCCGCCAAAGUGGAGUGCACGAACUUAAUCGCUCAGCCAUGGGGCAGGCCCCACUAGGUCUUUUUUCCCCCUUAAUUCAGGUUUAUUAAGAUAUAAUUUAUUUACAUUAAAAUUUACCAUUUUAAAGUAUACAGUUCAGUGAAUUUUGACAAGUGUGUGCUGUCCUAUGACAACCAACAAAAUUGAGAUAUAGAACAUCUCCAUUAUUCCCCCAAAUGUCUGUGUCUUUUAGCAAGCAAUCCCUUCCCCUCAUGUGUCAGAAGCACAUACUAGAAUACUAUGCAACAUUAAAGAGCGUGUCCUCGUAAGUACACGUAAGGAAAGAGAGAAAAAAUUUACUAUAUGAAGUCAAGAGCAAAGAGCAGAAAAAUUUCUAUAUA